GAUCAAACCUAGGGGUGCUUUACCACUGGGAUACAUUCCCUAACCUUUUUUAUUUUUUCUAUUUUGAUACAGGGUCUUGCUAAAUUGCUGAAGCUGAUCUUGAACUUUAAUCCUCCUGCCUCAUCCUGUUGAGUUGCUAGAAUUACAAACAUGCACCAUCUGGCCCAGCACAAUUUCUUUUUCAUAAUAUUUUCAAAAUUGUAAUUGACACAUAAUCAAUUUCUUUCUUCCUUCCUUCUUCUUUCCUUCCUUCCUUCCUUUCUUUCCUUCUUUCCUUCCUCCUCCCUUCCUUUCUUUCUUUCUAUGUGUGGCACUUGAAAUUGAACCACCCAGGGUCUCAUAUGUGCUAGGCAAAGGCUCUACCAUUGAGCUACAUCCCCAGCCCUUUAUAUUUUAUUUUGAAACAGGGACUUGCUAAAUUGCUCAGGCUGGUCUUGAAUUUUCAAUCCUCCUGCCUCAGCCUCCCUAAUCUCAGGGAUUAUAGACAAGUUGCCACCAUAUCCAGAGAAGAAUAAGAAGAAGGAGAAGAAAUAUACUAGGCAUACAGAAAGUUAUAAAGAAUAGCCGAGGGGCUGGGGUUAUGGCUCAUCAGUAGAGUACUCACCUAGCAUGUGCCAGGCCCUGGGUUUGAUCCUUGGCACCACGUAAAAAUAAAUAAAAUAAAGGUAUCGUGUCUAACUACAACUAAAAAAUAAAUAUUAAAACAAAAAAGAAUAGCCAAGCAUUGUAGUGCCCACCUAUAAUCCUAGUGAUGUGGGAGGCUAUGGCAGAAGGGUCCCAAAUUUGAGGCCAGCUACAGCCAUUUUGCAAAAACAACAACCACAAAAAAUUAUAAAGAAUACUAAAAUUUAAAAAAAACAAGAAAAAAAAAUUUAUCACAGAUUUAUCAAAUCUUAGUUUCUAAAUUUCUUUUCAUUUUUUUGUAGUUAUAGAUGGACAGAAUGCUUUUAUUUUGUUUAUGCAGUGCUAAGGAUCAAGCCCAGUGCCUCACAUAUGCCAGACUAGUGUUCUGCCACUGAGUUAUAGCCCCAGCCCAGAUCUUAGUAUUUUAUCACAUUUGCUUUAAAUUCUUUUUUUUUUUAAGAUAGAGAGAGGAGAGAGAGAGAGAAUUUUUUUAAUAUUUAUUUUUUAGUUUUCAGCGGACACAACAUCUUUGUUUGUAUGUGGUGCUGAGAAUCGAACCUGGGCCGCACGCAUGCCAGGCGUGCACGCUACCGCUUGAGCCACAUCCCCAGCCCAACUUUAAAUUCUCUUUUAUUUAUUUAUUUAUUUAUUUUGAGAUUGAACACUACUGUUUUUUUUUAUUGGUUGUUCAAAACAUUACAAAGCUCUUGACAUAUUUCAUACAUUAGAUUCAAGUGGGUUAUGAACUCCCAUUUUACAGCAGAUGGGGUAGAGAGAGAAGAUGGGAGGAGAGGGGAGGGGGUAUAGUAAAGGAUAGGAAAGGUAGCAGAAUACAACAGUUACUAAUAUGGCAUUAUGUAAAAAUGUGGAUGUGUAACCGAUGUGAUUCUGCAAUUUGUAUUUAAAUUCUCUUUUAAAGAAAUCAGCGAAGCUAGGAGCUUUGGCCUUUGCCUGUAGCCCCAGCAACUCCACAGGCCGAGGCAAGAGGGUGGCAAGUUCCAGGCCAGCCUAAGCAAUUUAGAAAGCCCCUCAUAAACUUAUCGAGACCCUGCUCAAACAAAAAAAUAAAAAGUGUUGGUGAUGUAGCUCAGUGGUAAAGUGCCCCUGGGUUCAAUCCCCAGAACUACAGAAAAAUGGAUAAAUAAAUAAAUAAGAUUAAAGAAAUUAGUAUUUCAGAUCAAGUUAAACCCUUUAAGUACUCCUCCCUGGUCUCUUUCCUAUCAUUUUUCACCUUCUGUCUGAGAAAUAACUACUAUCCCAAAUUGGUAUUUAUUUUGUUUAUGUACUUAAACAAUUUUAUUGCUUAAUAUACACAUAAGUCUAUUGAAACAUAGCCCCCCUUUGAAAUUAAAAUCUCCAAAUUGUUUUAACUUCUGAACUUCCUCAUACUGAGAAUGGAUGUUGAGGGAGGCUGGCCUUAAGGGGCACCUGGGAACCUGAGAGAGUGACACAUUUCCUAGCUAAAUCUAUACAUGUAUGUUUCCUACCUUUUGUCCCACUGUGCCCCUGAGUCUGAUAAGACAGAGAAUUGAAAAAGGGAAAAGUCUCUUUUAUAUUUCUUGAAGCCAGCUUUUUUUUUCCCCUUGCCAAAACUGCCUCCUGAGUUUUUAGUGGAGUAGAACAAGGAGUCAAAUCUCUUGCCCCCUCUUUCACAUUGGGCAUAAACCUGUUGACAGAAUUGCUGAGUCACAGGGCAUGUGUAAGCUCAGCUUCAGUAGAUGUUGUAUUGUAGGGACAGAGGAGGCAAGGCGCUGAAGAUAGCAGGAAACAGUUUUAUUUGGCUGCAGCCAGGCUCAGAGGGCACAGCUUUUGCUGUAAUCAAUUAAUCUCCUGAACCCUGAGUUCAGGUAGUUUCAGAGUUUUAUACCCAGCAUGUAAGGGGAGGGGCUCAGAAGUUCACAUAAAAGCAGCUUUUUUUUUUUUUUUCCCACUGUUUUGGGCAAGUUAACCCUUCAAGGACAACAUCUAAGAAAGGGAGAGCUUCCUCCCCUUUCUUUCCUCCCCCUGCCCAUUGUUACCAUGGAGCUCAGUUGGUAACUUACCUUUAAAAUGUAGACAUCUUUGUGAAGUCCCAGCUCAAGGCCAGAGGCCUUGUUUGCACAUUUCUACAAACGACUAUACUGGAUAUAUUUGUGAAAAACUAGUAAGGGGAUGUCCAGCACCUGGAGUUCUGGUAUCUUCCCUGCCAAUGGCCAAGUAAAACUGGGCGACAUGAAAAUAGGAAGUUUAUCUACAUUGAACUCUUUUGCAUAGACUCUUUUGCUGACAUUCCUAAAAUCAGACAUGGUGAAGAUUUCUAGAGAAGCUCAGUUAAGACUUUUCUGUGGAGAAAGGGGGUGCCACUUCAGUUGCCCACAUAUUUUCUGAAGAGAUUGUAAUAGUUCCAACUCCUAUAGCAAUAUAUAAGAGGUCUAGAUACUGCACAUCCUUGCAAACUAUUUUUUAACUUUUUUGGGGAGGUGGGGUUCAAUGGGGAUUGAACCCAGGGCCUUGCACUGUAGUGGCACUCCCUCCUCCACAGAAAAAUCUUAAUUAAGCUUCUCUAGGGACCCUCACCAAAUCUAUUCUUAGACUAUCAGCAAGAAUUUCUGCAAAAAUUUCUGCAAAAAAAGUUUUCAGGUGGGAAGUGUGUUUCCAGUAGACUGUGAUAAGGCAGUCUAGUCCAGCCAGGAGCUUUCACAAAGGCAUUCGCAUUUCAAAGGAUAGAAGUUAGAUCCUAGGGAUCUAACUUUACAGUCCACAAGAUAGGAGUAAAUGGUACAAAUCAGGUUCCUUGGAAACCAGCUUGGUGGUAGUGUGUGUGUGUGUGUGGGGGGGGGAACCUCUUCCUUUCCUAGGCACUGGUUUUUACAGAGGGUGUCCUUGAUUUAUUUUCCAGGCCUGGGUUGAUUGCCCAGAAUAGUAGGAAAAAACUACUUUUAUGUGGACUUCUGCAGAUUGUGAGCCUCUGAGCUCUUUCUUCCCCUACACACUGGGUAUAAAGUUCUAAGCAUUUCUGAACUCAGGGUUCAGAGGGACAAACUGGUUUAGGCAAAAGCCAUCUCUGGACCUGGCUACAGCCAAUAAACCUGCUUCCUGCUAAUUCCUAGGUGUCCAGCUUUGUCUGUCCUAUAACAGCAAUGCUAGGCAAGCGCUCUAUAAUUGAUCUAUAUCCUCAGCCUACAUCCUUGAAAACUCUGAUGAUGAUCUUUUUAAUUUCAGUUAUUUUGAUGAAUCUCAGUGAGGCAUUAAUUGUAUUUCUGUGAUUUCUACUGAAGUCAAGCACUUUUUUUUUUUUAAUCAGUGUCAAUUGGUUAUCUUGUGUUAUAUGUCAUGUUAUCUUCUGUGAGAAACAGAAAUUCUGGUGGUCCAUUUUCAGAAUAUAGUAUUUAGCCUUAACUGGGAUGUAACAUCCAAUUGAAACUGGUCUUGAAAAUCAGGAUAAGGUCCUUAACCCCCCUCCCACCCCUCCCACAACACACACACACACACACACACACACACUGACGAUUAAACACCUGAGAAAUGCUAAGGCAAGAGCAAAAAGUUUUGUGUAAAGGAUAAGAGAGAGAGAGAGAGAUAUUCCUCCAGAGAGGAGAGAGUCCAGAGCUGGUGCCCAAGGAAGUAGGGGUGUCUUGCCCCUUUUAUAGAUUUCAGGUUUCCUUUCUCCUCAUGCUUCCUCCUCACAUCCUGCCUACGUGACCAAAAGGGCAGGAAGAGAGUUAUCUGGGGAGUGAUUGCUUGUGCUGGAAAACGUGAUCCUUCACCUUCCCCAGAGGUUGUUAGCAACCAGAUGAUGGGGAGUGCUAUCUACUCAUUAACUUUUUCUUGGUACCUGUCCUUUGCAGCUAUCUGUUCAUUGUCCUGCUCUCACAAUCAUAGUCAUGUUAACUAUACCCCUUUGCCCUCCCCAAUUUUAAAAUUAGCCCAUUGCAUAGAUUGUUACCCCAAGCUCUUCCUAUCAGAGCAUGGGACAGUGCUGCCUUAGGGAUAAAAAUAGGUGGACUGUCCACCAAAGUGUACUUCCUUUCAGACUUUGUUUAGUAGCACACCUUCUGCAGAAGGUGUUUGCCUUGCCAAGGUUGUUGUUGUUGUUAUUCUUCUUCUUUUUUAAUUAGGUAUAUAUGACAGCAGAAUGCAUUUUGAUUUCAUUGUAUACAAUUGCAGCACAACUGUACAUUUCUAUGGUUGUAUACUAUGUAGCUGGUCAUACCAUAUGUGCAGUCAUACAUUGUACCUAGGGUAAUAAUGUCCAUCUCAUUCCACCAUCUUUCCUACCUCCAUUUCCCCCCACCCCUACCUCCCCUUUGCCCCAUCAAAGUUCCUCCAUUUUUCCCAUCCCCCCCCAGAGAGAACAUUUUGCCAAGGUACUUCUGAGCAUGUGUUUGAUUUCUUGCAGUACCCAGUAUUUCUAACAAUUUUGGCGUCCAACAUGGGGCUCCAUACAUUGCCUAGGGGAUUGUGAGUACUCCCUCUUUAGAGGACAAACCUGCUAGCUUGUUGUGGUGGCCUUGGAGUGGGGGAGGAAACCUGCAAUCCCUGAGGCUGACAACAGACCCCAAAUUGAAAGUGGAUCAGCAACCCAGGGAAAGAGCCUAAGGAAGCACCACGGUGACUAGGUAACCCCGUGCACAGACCAAGGUAGAAAAAUCUAUUCUUGAGAAAGACGUGGUGGUCAGGACAUCUUGGAGGUUGAGAGGGUGUUGCAAGAAACUUCCAGUGGGGGGUUCAGCCCCCCCACCAAAAAAAAAUAAAAAACCUCUAAAACUGUAGUGUAGAAAAAGAGAAUGCUGGCAAGGGAAAAGACACCCAAAUUUCCCCAGAUGCCCCUUUGGGUCUUAUGUUAAAAUAUUGGAAAGAUAGUCCUAGGACAAAAGGGAAGAAGAAACCAAAGAUGAUAAAAUACUGUUGUUUUUAUUUGGACUCAUUAAGCAUGUAAGGAGUUUGGGGUAUACAAUAAAUCUCCAGAAAAAAAUUCUAGGCCUAGGGACAGGGAGGGAAAAUGAAAAGCACAGGCCCAUCCUAUGUCUGAGUCAUACUGUAAAAAGCUGUAACGGGCUGUAUUUUAAUUUCUAAAGGGUUAAAUCUCACCUGUAAGGAUUUAAUACCUGGUAAACAGCUACCAAAUCUUUGUUUCAUCUCAGUUUUAUGUACACUUCAACAUACCUGUGUUAUUGUAUGUCAUGUUUAUAUACAUGCUUGUGUCUAUAUCUUGUACAUGGUAUCAAAAUUGGUUUAUAGAUAAAUGAGUUCUCAUAAAUUUAAUACAUGGAUCCAAGUCCCUUUCAGUUUAUGUGACUUAAAUAAAACUAACAAAUAAGAGUCAAUUUAAAUUGGUAAGAGUAAAGAUGCUAUUGAAAUCACUAAUCCACAUAUUUUUCUAGGUGGCAAACCAACCAAAGUGUUGGUUUCUAUAAAAUGUUUAAAGUGCAAUGUCUGUUGCUUCUAAGGAUUUUUCUUUGGCAGGAAUAAAUCUAGUUAAAUUAUUAACUAGGCUUGUUUGAUAGCUUGGUUUUCAUGGGUAACCUAAGAUAGAAAUGGGUAAAUUGGGUUUUUAAAAAUAUUUAUUUUUUAGGUGUAGUUGGACACAAUACCUUUAUUUAAUUUAUUUAUUUUUAUGUGGUGCUGAGGAUCGAACCCAAGGCCCUGAAUGUGCUAGGCAAGUGCUCUACCACUGAGCUACAACCCAAGCCCUGGUAAAUUAGUUUUUGUGUGUGUGUGUGUAUGUGUAUGUGGUGCUGGGGAUUGAAUCCAGGGCCUUGUGCAAGCGAGGCAAGUGCUCUACCAACUGAGCUAUAUCCCCAGCCCCCUUAGUUUUUAACAUAAAUAGAAUUAAUCUUCAGAAAUGUGUUAGAAGAGACAUCUGAGCCAGGAGUGGUGUCGCAUGCCUGUAAUCCCAGCAGCUUGGGAAGCUAAGGCAAGAGGAUCACACGUUCAAAACCAGCCUCAGCAACAGCAAGGUGCUUAGCAACUCGUUGAGACCCUGUCGCUAAAUAAAAUUCAAAAUAGGGUUGG
This 6618-nucleotide long non-coding RNA is filed under the name Marmota monax (woodchuck). Lineage: Eukaryota; Metazoa; Chordata; Mammalia; Rodentia; Sciuridae. The record is from RNAcentral.